UCCUACGGGGCGCAGCAGUAGGGAAUUUUCGUCAAUGGGCGCAAGCCUGAACGAGCAAUGCCGCGUGAACGAGGAAGGUCUUCGGAUCGUAAAGUUCUGUUGAAGGGGAAAAAGAGCGGAGAGAGGAAAUGGUCUCCGAUUGAUAUUACCCUUCGAGGAAGCCACGGCUAACUACGUGCCAGCAGCCGCGGUAAUACGUAGGUGGCGAGCGUUAUCCGGAAUGAUUGGGCGUAAAGGGUGCGUAGGCGGCCUGCUAAGUCUGAAGUGAAAGGUACCGGCUCAACCGGUACAGGCUCUGGAAACUG
This 305-nucleotide ribosomal RNA is filed under the name uncultured bacterium. Its description in RNAcentral is "bacterial SSU rRNA". It matches the Rfam family "Bacterial small subunit ribosomal RNA", at positions 337 to 635 of the family's 1533-position model. The record is from RNAcentral.